Molecule: long non-coding RNA, 1822 nt
Organism: Trifolium pratense (red clover)
Lineage: Eukaryota; Viridiplantae; Streptophyta; Magnoliopsida; Fabales; Fabaceae
Exons: 10
Source: RefSeq, a predicted model, not a curated record
UGCAGCAAAAUGAAAUACUUAUGAUUCCUUAACAUGCUCAAAGAAAAUAUGAAAGUUCUUCUAUUUUGUUUACAAAAUUGAGAUAGCUGGACGAACGUGCACAAAAAAGAAUGGGCUGCAUGCUGCUUCAAAAUCCUCUUAUGAAACAAAGAUUUCGCCGCAUGAUCCAGAGAAUGCAGGCAUGUUUAAUCUACAUAUUGUGUUUUACUAUCUGAUCCAAUAGACAAGGGAACAUAAUUGCUUGAUUAUUGAAAGAAGAGUCAUCUCCCUGAUUGGCACGAAGAAAGCUAAGCAAUAUCGUGAGAUGGUAAGUCGCUAAGAGAAUCUGCUCAAGAUGGUCAUGAGUUCACUUCAGAAAAUCAGGGAAUGUCAGCAGAUGUUAUCCUAAAGCAUUUUUGGCAACAGCAGAAGAACUUCUUGCUCUGGUAAAGAAACAAUCGCAGCACAAACCACAACUAGCUUCUCCUUUUCCUUGCCGUUGUCACCUUGCUCCGUCUUAUUCCUCAAAUCGUGAUAAUCACAGAGCAGUCGCUGUUGUCCUUGCUAUAUCGGACGUAUGUGUAGUGAAGGGAAAUUAGUGGAUGGUGCAGCAAGGGGCUGAUGGUUAGGAAUGAGGUGGAAACAAAAUUAUUCAAGAACACAGUGAAAUAGAGUUACAAGUUGAGGCAUUAUGUUUGAGGAUACUUUUAUAAGACAAUUAAGGGAAGACCAUUUGAGGAUUAUGUUUUUUUUUUUUUUUACGGGAAAUGCUAUUUAGCCUUUCAUGCUCACAUCUCAAUUUAUCGUAAUUUGAUUUAAUUACUCAUAUUGAUUAAGCUAAACUUAUUUUGUUUAUUUGAUGUUGCUUGAUGGUAUUGCAACUUGCUAUUUUGAUUAUGCAUAAUGCUGUCACACUCACUAUUUUGCCUCUUCAAAAGAAAUCCAAACUGCACUCCAUCCUAAAAAAUUGAUUAGGUAUGCACAUGGUGGCCGAAUUCAAUUAUUUUAGAGGAUCGUCUUUCACCUUCUCUACUAGAUAUGUAAAUCAUCGGGGUAUUAUUUCUAUUAUUAUAUUUCUCUUUCAUUUCCCUUAACAGACUUCUAAAUGUGAUUUCUAUCUUCAUUAAUGGAGUUCACUAUGCAGGUCCCAACUAUAAAUAUUCAGAACAUACUAACAUUGUUUGCUCUGAAUUUUAUAACUCACUCUCAAAAGGCUCCCAUACUCCCUUCCAAUAAUUUUCUGGAGGAUUUUGAUGAGGAUAACAACGGAGUCGUCUAUCCUAUCAAGAACCAGGUGAGUGGUGUGUUGGAGAAACCUUCCUCAAGCCAUCAAAAUCAGUGGUGUGUUGAAGAAACCUUCCUUAAGCCAUCAAAAUCAUUUUUGAGCUUUACUAUGCGGUUGAGUCUGAGAUUUAUUCAAACAUAAUUGAAGCGAUUUACCAAUGACUAAGAAGUAGGAAAGCUUCACUUCAUCGGUUCUUGGAGAAAAGGAAGAAUAGACUCCAACAUUUUACAAGCUUCUCUGCUACCCUUUUGUUGUUUCUCUAUGAAGUGGAUCAAUUAGAUCAGAUGUGUGUUUCUCUAUUUUUGUAAGACUGAGUCCUAUGCUCAAAAAUAUCUAUACAUAUUUGUGAAUGUUGUGGUGCGUCCUUAUUAGUACCAUAUUUAAGAGUGUAUUUCUGAUUGACCCCAAAAACAAUGUACUUAUAGUUAUUUACACUCAUUAUUUGUGAGUGACUCUAUUUAGUAUUAUUGUUAUAGUAAAUGUCCUCAAUAUCAUUCUUCUGAUAUUAAUUGCUUCAUCAACAUGAGUUUUAUAUUUUCGCUCUCAUAACUAGGAUUG